AUUUUCAAAUUUAAAAAAAAAAAUGAAGGGCGGAAAAAGGAAAUAAUUGACAAGAUUGGAAAGAAAAUAACAAAAAAUAAGCAACAUGUACAUUGCUUGUUGAAAUUAUGAAGGAAUACAAAAACCUAACUUUCCAUUCAAACCAAAAUUGAAGCAAGCAACAACUAUAAAAAAAAAUUAUUAUUAUUAUUAUAAAGAGCAUAAGCUCUGGGGGAAAAAACUAAAGCAUAAGGUGACUUCAUAAUACCUAGUCUUUAUAUAUUGAUGAUCCUUCUAUGCCACACGAAAAAUGCACAAAG
Molecule: unclassified non-coding RNA, 299 nt
Filed under: Hevea brasiliensis (rubber tree)
Lineage: Eukaryota; Viridiplantae; Streptophyta; Magnoliopsida; Malpighiales; Euphorbiaceae
Source: RNAcentral